Molecule: ribosomal RNA, 460 nt
Filed under: uncultured bacterium
Lineage: Bacteria
Description: partial 16S ribosomal RNA
Rfam family: Bacterial small subunit ribosomal RNA
Source: RNAcentral
CCUACGGGGGGCAGCAGUGAGGAAUAUUGCUCAAUGGGCGCGAGCCUGAACCAGCCAAGUAGCGUGAAGGAUGACUGCCCUACGGGUUGUAAACUUCUUUUAUAAAGGAAUAAAGUGAGGCACGUGUGCCUUUUUGUAUGUACUUUAUGAAUAAGGAUCGGCUAACUCCGCGCCAGCAGCCGCGGUAAUACGGAGGAUCCGAGCGUUAUCCGGAUUUAUUGGGUUUAAAGGGAGCGUAGAUGGGUUGUUAAGUUAGUUGUGAAAGUUUUGGGCUCAACCGUAAAAUUGCAAUUUAUACUGGCAGCCUUGAGUACAGUUGAGGUAGGCGGAAUUCGUGGUGUAGCGGUGAAAUGCGUAGAUAUCACGAAGAACUCCGAUUGCGAAGGCAGCUUACUAAACUGCCACUGACAUUGAGGCUCGAAAGUGUGGGUAUCAAACAGGAUUAGAUACCCCUGUAGUC